UUGUACCUACGGGGGGCAGCAGUAGGGAAUUUUCGUCAAUGGGCGCAAGCCUGAACGAGCGAUGCCGCGUGAGUGAAGAAGGCCUUCGGGUCGUAAAGCUCUGUUGCGGGGGAAAAAAGGCAGCAUCAGGAAAUGGGUGCUGACUGAUGGUGCCCCGCCAGAAAGUCACGGCUAACUACGUGCCAGCAGCCGCGGUAAUACGUAGGUGGCGAGCGUUAUCCGGAAUGAUUGGGCGUAAAGGGUGCGCAGGCGGUCCUGCAAGUCUGGAGUGAAAAUCCAGUGCUUAACGU
Molecule: ribosomal RNA, 290 nt
Filed under: uncultured bacterium
Lineage: Bacteria
Description: partial 16S ribosomal RNA
Rfam family: Bacterial small subunit ribosomal RNA
Source: RNAcentral